UAGGGAAUCUUCCGCAAUGGACGAAAGUCUGACGGAGCCACGCCGCGUGAGUGAAGAAGGAUUUCGGUUCGUAAAACUCUGUUGUUAGGGAAGAAAAAAUGUAUAGUAACUAUAUACAAAAGAGACGGUACCUAACCAGAAAGCCACGGCUAACUACGUGCCAGCAGCCGCGGUAAUACGUAGGGGGCUAGCGUUAUCCGGAUUUACUGGGCGUAAAGGGUGCGUAGGUGGUCUUUCAAGUCGGUGGUUAAAGGAUACGGCUCAACCGUAGGUAGCCUCCGAAACUGGAAGACUUGAGUGCAGGAGAGGAAAGUGGAAUUCCCAGUGUAGCGGUGAAAUGCGUAGAUAUUGGGAGGAACACCAGUAGCGAAGGCGGCUUUCUGGACUGCAACUGACGCUGAGGCACGAAAGCGUGGGUAGCAAACAGG
RNAcentral lists this ribosomal RNA (428 nucleotides) under Verrucomicrobiota bacterium. Its description in RNAcentral is "Verrucomicrobia bacterium partial 16S ribosomal RNA". It matches the Rfam family "Bacterial small subunit ribosomal RNA", at positions 355 to 776 of the family's 1533-position model. Lineage: Bacteria; Pseudomonadati; Verrucomicrobiota. The record is from RNAcentral.